This is a small nucleolar RNA of Humulus lupulus (European hop), 105 nucleotides long. The record is from RefSeq and is a predicted model, not a curated record. NCBI's taxonomy places the organism in Eukaryota, Viridiplantae, Streptophyta, Magnoliopsida, Rosales, Cannabaceae.
AUACCAUGAUGCGGGUACUUCCUUAGCAACUCUUUAAAUCAUUCCCAUGCAUCAUAUAAAGACUCCCCACCCAAAUGAUGAAAGUUAUUAAUCUCUCCUCUAUAU